Molecule: ribosomal RNA, 507 nt
Filed under: uncultured Glomeromycotina
Lineage: Eukaryota; Fungi; Glomeromycota
Description: partial small subunit ribosomal RNA
Rfam family: Eukaryotic small subunit ribosomal RNA
Source: RNAcentral
CCAAUAGCGUAUAUUAAAGUUGUUGCAGUUAAAAAGCUCGUAGUUGAAUUUCGGGAUUGACGUGACGGUCAUGCCUUAAGGGGUAUGAACUGUUACAGUUGAUUUCUCACCUUCUGGAGAAACUUGAUGUCCUUUAUUGGGUGUCUUGCGGAUCCAGGACCUUUACCUUGAAAAAAUUAGAGUGUUUAAAGCAGGCAUUUUUGCUCGAAUACAUUAGCAUGGAAUAAUAGAAUAGGACGGCAUGGUUCUAUUUUGUUGGUUUCUAGGAUCACCGUAAUGAUUAAUAGGGAUAGUUGGGGGCAUUAGUAUUCAAUUGUCAGAGGUGAAAUCCUUGGAUUUAUUGAAGACUAACUACUGCGAAAGCAUUUGCCAAGGAUGUUUUCAUUAAUCAAGAACGAAAGUUAGGGGAUCGAAGACGAUCAGAUACCGUCGUAGUCUUAACCAUAAACUAUGCCGACUAGGAAUCAGACGAUGUUAAUUUUUUAAUGACUCGUUUGGCACCUUACG